AGGGUUUGAUCCUGGCUCAGAAUGAACGCUGGCGGUAGGCUUAACACAUGCAAGUCGAACGGAAACGAUAAAGAGCUUGCUCUUUAGGCGUCGAGUGGCGGACGGGUGAGUAACGCGUGGGAAUCUACCCUAUAGUUGGGGACAACAUAUGGAAACGUAUGCUAAUACCGAAUAUGCUCUACGGAGUAAAGGAGCCCUCUUCUUGAAAGGUUUCGCUAUAGGAUGAGCCCGCGUUAGAUUAGCUAGUUGGUAAGGUAAAGGCUUACCAAGGCGACGAUCUAUAGCUGGUUUGAGAGGAUGAUCAGCCACACUGGGACUGAGACACGGCCCAGACUCCUACGGGAGGCAGCAGUGGGGAAUAUUGCACAAUGGACGAAAGUCUGAUGCAGCCAUACCGCGUGUGUGAAGAAGGCCCGAGGGUUGUAAAGCACUUUCAAUUGGGAGGAAGAUUAAGUAGUUAAUACCUACUUAGUUUGACGUUACCUUUAGAAGAAGCACCGGCUAACUCUGUGCCAGCAGCCGCGGUA
This 527-nucleotide ribosomal RNA is filed under the name uncultured bacterium. Its description in RNAcentral is "bacterial SSU rRNA". It matches the Rfam family "Bacterial small subunit ribosomal RNA", at positions 8 to 522 of the family's 1533-position model. The record is from RNAcentral.